Molecule: long non-coding RNA, 979 nt
Filed under: Homo sapiens (human)
Lineage: Eukaryota; Metazoa; Chordata; Mammalia; Primates; Hominidae
Description: non-protein coding NR2F1-AS1:70
Source: RNAcentral
GCGCGCGGGGUUGGCUGCCGGGAGGUCGACGCUAGUGCGGUCCCCCGCGCGGCGGAGGGGCCCGGGCCGCGGUAUCUGCGCACUGAGACGUCGGCGGAAGGCUAGAGGCCGUGCUCUCGCCCCCGCAGAAGGCCACCACUCCUUGAGAAGGCCGGAGGGACAAAGCACCGGGCCUGCGCCGGGGGCAUUCAAGAAGGAAGCCAGGCCCGACCGGGGGUGGCGCACGCUUCCCGAACCCCAGGCCCACGGCCCGGUUCCGCGCGGGCAGUUGGCGCCCCCUCGGGUCGGCACAGCAGACCUCUUAACAGGGACUGAGAAACGGAAAUACUACCAUCCUCCAGCCAAUCUGUUGGGAGGACUGCUUGCAGAGGACUCGUGCUCCAGAUGUUGCACUAGAGGCGCUGCAAGUGUGAGCAGCAGGUAGAUGAAACUCAAGAGAAAAGGUGUGGAUAAAUGAAACUAGCCCAUGAUGAACCUGUUUUCUCCGUGACCACAAUAUUAACCAGGAUGAAUGGCGGUGGCAGUGGGCCUGCAUCACAGGUUGCAGCAGAUGUUCUCAAUAUUUCUAUUAAAAUUUCCUUAUUUCCAUAUGCAAGAGGAGCCCCAGAGCUGCAUCCUUAUGGUAGCUACCAUGCCGUGAUGUAAGCUGCCAUUCACUGGGGAGCUUUGGCAAUAGAAUUGGCUAGAUCAGGAAGCCUAUGUCAACUAUGGAACAACAACUUGCAGCUCAUCUCUAUUGAUGAUACACUGCCUCUAGGACUGGGACAGAUAGCCACUGAGUACCUGCUUCAAAUCACCCUGCACGUUUUCUCUUUGGAAAGAUAAGCACUGGAGAACCAUCUCGUUACCUUCAGCAGAAAUGGAAACAAAUCAAGACAUUAAGAAUGCCGCAGUGGACAGCAGUUAUGCAAGGUUCAGCAGAGGAAGUUUUCAAGAUGGUGUGCCUCACUAGCCAGAAAUCAGAAAAGAUCGAAGCUAG